GAAAUCUGAACUUUGGUAAGAAAGUCAAUAAAGUAUUGAUUUCUAGAAGUCCAGCUGAUUUCUGAGUACAUGUCAAAGCUAGUGGGAGCAUAAGUGUUAUGCUAAUAAUCAUCAUGUUAGUGGGAGCAUGAUAAUUAUGAUAAAUGUUGCAAGUUAGCAAUGUUAAUUAUAGAAAACAAAAGGUUUCAAUUGGGAAAAGUUGUUUUGCUAUAAUUAAGGGAGAGGAAAUUAUACUUCAUCUCAAAUCUAUAAGCUUAGAUCGUGAGGUUUUAAUCAUUUAGUCAAGGAUAUAUAUGAAUUUCAUGUUGGAAUGGCUCAACAUAAGGAAAUUCUGUAUAUGGGUCCAUUAUUUGCGUUCUAAAAUUCGAUUAUGAUUACGACAUCCCUUUUCAUAAUCUGAAUUAUGAGAACUUGGCAAAUAGAAAUGGAAAUGUUAUAGCAAAAGACUGGUUUAGUCUUUAUGUGAGACAUCAUGAAUCGUGUCCCAUAUGCUUCGGAUAUAGGAUUGAUUACAUGUGCUAUAUUCAUCCUUUCUAAAAUUUUCCAAAUGCCUGGGGCAUUAAGAAGGGAAAAGGUCUAGAAUUGGAUAUGACUAAAAGGAUUAAACAAUUGUCAAGGACAAUCUAAGGUUUACCAAAGUUUGGUUGCUCAAGGACAGUUGGAAGUAUAGUGAUAAUUCUGGAAGGACCAUAUUGACAUAAUCUAUAGGGAGGCAACUCUUGUUCAGAAGUGAUAGUCAAAAUGGAAUAUGGAAAUGUUUCAAAGUUAGAAAUUAUUCCAUCUGUGUAAGAUUAGGAAACUUAAUGCAAGAAGGAUGUUCCAAGGAGCUGAUCUCCUUUGGAAUGCUCUAUAAUGGUUGUUGUCAAGUCUUUCUCACUUUAUGCAUAGUUAUUACAAGAGGAUCAAUGCAUAUAAAU
This 917-nucleotide long non-coding RNA is filed under the name Lactuca sativa (garden lettuce). RNAcentral's name for it is "long non-coding RNA (LSAT_LNC000868)". Lineage: Eukaryota; Viridiplantae; Streptophyta; Magnoliopsida; Asterales; Asteraceae. The record is from RNAcentral.